RNAcentral lists this ribosomal RNA (253 nucleotides) under uncultured bacterium. Its description in RNAcentral is "partial 16S ribosomal RNA". It matches the Rfam family "Bacterial small subunit ribosomal RNA", at positions 524 to 776 of the family's 1533-position model. The record is from RNAcentral.
UACGUAGGGGGCAAGCGUUGUCCGGAAUCAUUGGGCGUAAAGAGCGUGUAGGCGGCCUGGUAAGUCCGCUGUGAAAGUCCAGGGCUCAACCCUGGAAUGCCGGUGGAAACUGUCAGGCUCGAGUCCGGAAGAGGCGAGUGGAAUUCCUGGUGUAGCGGUGAAAUGCGCAGAUAUCAGGAGGAACACCGGUGGCGAAGGCGGGUCUCUGGGCCGUUACUGACGCUGAGGAGCGAAAGCGUGGGGAGCGAACAGG